Molecule: small nucleolar RNA, 109 nt
Organism: Malania oleifera
Lineage: Eukaryota; Viridiplantae; Streptophyta; Magnoliopsida; Santalales; Ximeniaceae
Source: RefSeq, a predicted model, not a curated record
AAUCCGUGAUGUGGACAGAUAUUCAUCAGAUCCUUGAAUCUCUCCCAACAAACCUGAAAGGUCUCAUUACCUUUCUGUAUGAACUGACUGAUUUGAUCCUACAGGCACU